GUUAUUCCGACCAAAGGCUGUGUCCGGUUAGUGGCCCGCAUGAGUGCUGACCAGCGGGGUCGGUCGGUGGGAGCGCUUUCGCAGAAAGGUCACUGGCCGGGUUCUUGGAUUAGGGUUUUCCGGGCAGGAAUCGCAUCAUCGCAUCCAAGCUUCGCUAGGAAAAAAAAGAGGAAUCCAUGGAGGCCGAUUCUUGGAGCCGCUUCUCGCUCGCCGCCUCGAAGCGCCGCCAGUCCGCUCACCAAUCGCGAUACGAUCUGUACCUUGGGUUCGAGGAGAUUGAUGGCGGUGAGGACGACUCCCGCGCGGAGUUUGCCUGCCCGUUUUGCUCCGAGGAUUUCGAUAUCGUCGGGCUUUGCUGCCACAUCGAUGAUGAGCACCCCGUGGAGGCUAAGAAUGGGGUAUUACUUCUUAUCCAAUCUUUCGUUUUAGUUUUUCAAUGUUCUGGAAUUAUCCGAUCUUGAAAUGGAUGAGCUUUAUGUUUUUUUCUCUAUAAUUGUUGAAUAAAAAUACAUUUUUUGGGAUGGCGAUGGUUAUUUUUGUUGGGAUUUUUUAGGUUUGUAAGUCUUUCUAUUUUCUAAUGGUAGAUAUAGUCUAUGCGUUUUCUAACUUUUUAGGUGUUUUCUUCACUUUCUGUUUAGCUAAGUUUAUUAGCUUGGGGGAAUGCAGGAUUUUUAUAGCUUUAUCGGCUGCUGAUAUUA
This is a non-coding RNA of Phoenix dactylifera (date palm), 698 nucleotides long. The record is from RefSeq and is a predicted model, not a curated record. NCBI's taxonomy places the organism in Eukaryota, Viridiplantae, Streptophyta, Magnoliopsida, Arecales, Arecaceae.